AAAGUCGUAACAAGGUUUCCGUAGGUGAACCUGCGGAAGGAUCAUUAGUGAAAAUAGGGUAACUCUGCAAAGAGAAGCCCGAAAAUACACUUAUUUUCAUACACCUGUGCAUUUGAAACACUUUUUAACACUUGUGUUAACACAAAGUCAUUUGAUUAUAUAAAACGAAAGUAAAACUUUCAGCAAUGGAUCUCUUGGCUCUC
This 203-nucleotide unclassified non-coding RNA is filed under the name Basidiomycota sp. RNAcentral describes it as "partial contains small subunit ribosomal RNA, internal transcribed spacer 1, and 5.8S ribosomal RNA". The stretch from base 1 to 47 matches the Rfam family "Eukaryotic small subunit ribosomal RNA", at positions 1785 to 1831 of the family's 1831-position model. Lineage: Eukaryota; Fungi; Basidiomycota. The record is from RNAcentral.